This 606-nucleotide ribosomal RNA is filed under the name uncultured bacterium. RNAcentral's name for it is "bacterial SSU rRNA". It matches the Rfam family "Bacterial small subunit ribosomal RNA", at positions 137 to 736 of the family's 1533-position model. The record is from RNAcentral.
UGGGGGACAACUCGAGGAAACUCGAGCUAAUACCGCAUACGCCCUACGGGGGAAAGCGGAGGAUCCUUCGGGACUUCGCGCUAUUGGAUGAGCCUAAGUCGGAUUAGCUUGUUGGUGGGGUAAAGGCCUACCAAGGCGACGAUCUGUAGCUGGUCUGAGAGGACGAUCAGCCACACUGGGACUGAGACACGGCCCAGACUCCUACGGGAGGCAGCAGUGGGGAAUAUUGGACAAUGGGGGAAACCCUGAUCCAGCAAUGCCGCGUGUGUGAAGAAGGCCUGCGGGUUGUAAAGCACUUUCAGUAGAGAAGAAAAGCUCAUGGUUAAUACCCGUGGGUCUUGACGUAACCUACAGAAGAAGCACCGGCUAACUCCGUGCCAGCAGCCGCGGUAAUACGGAGGGUGCGAGCGUUAAUCGGAAUUACUGGGCGUAAAGCGCGCGUAGGCGGUUUGGUCAGUCGGAUGUGAAAGCCCUGGGCUCAACCUGGGAAUGGCAUUCGAUACUGCCUGACUAGAGUAUGGUAGAGGGAAGUGGAAUUUCCGGUGUAGCGGUGAAAUGCGUAGAUAUCGGAAGGAACACCAGUGGCGAAGGCGACUUCCUGGGCCA